Molecule: long non-coding RNA, 414 nt
Organism: Gadus macrocephalus (Pacific cod)
Lineage: Eukaryota; Metazoa; Chordata; Actinopteri; Gadiformes; Gadidae
Exons: 3
Source: RefSeq, a predicted model, not a curated record
UGGCAGUGCAUCAGCCAGCUGCCAGCGAUCUCCGGACGCAUCUUCACCGUCUGGUCAGAGAGAGACAUGAGAACAGGCUCACAGCUCUGAGAGGGACAUGAGAACAGGUUCACAGCUCUGAGAGAGGCAUGAGAACAGCCUCACAGCUCAGAGAGAGGCAUGAGAACAGCCUCACAGCUCAGAGAGAGGCAUGAGAACAGCCUCACAGCUCUGAGAGGGACAUGAGAACAGGCUCACAGCUCAGAGAGGCAUGAGAACAGCCUCACAGCUCUGAGAGGGACAUGAGAACAGCCUCACAGCUCAGAGAGAGGCAUGAGAACAGCCUCACAGCUCAGAGAGAGGCAUGAGAACAGCCUCACAGCUCAGAGAGAGGCAUGAGAACAGCCUCACAGCUCAGAGAGAGGCAUGAGAACA